GACGAACGCUGGCGGCGUGCUUAACACAUGCAAGUCGAACGAUGAACCCGGAGCUUGCUCCGGCGGAUUAGUGGCGAACGGGUGAGUAACACGUGAGUAACCUGCCCUUGACUCUGGGAUAACUGCUAGAAAUGGUAGCUAAUACCGGAUACGACCCUCGGUGGCAUCACCAGGGGGUGGAAAGAAUUUCGGUCAAGGAUGGACUCGCGGCCUAUCAGCUAGUUGGUGAGGUAACGGCUCACCAAGGCGACGACGGGUAGCCGGCCUGAGAGGGUCACCGGCCACACUGGAACUAAGAUACGGCCCAGACUCCUACGGGAGGCAGCAGUGUGGAAUAUUGCACAAUGGGCGCAAGCCUGAUGCAGCGACGCCGCGUGAGGGAUGACGGCCUUCGGGUUGUAAACCUCUUUCAGCACCGACGAAGCGCAAGUGACGGUAGGUGCAGAAGAAGGACCGGCCAACUACGUGCCAGCCGCCGCGGUAA
RNAcentral lists this ribosomal RNA (484 nucleotides) under uncultured bacterium. RNAcentral describes it as "partial 16S ribosomal RNA". It matches the Rfam family "Bacterial small subunit ribosomal RNA", at positions 28 to 523 of the family's 1533-position model. The record is from RNAcentral.